Molecule: RNA transcript, 2203 nt
Organism: Rhinopithecus roxellana (golden snub-nosed monkey)
Lineage: Eukaryota; Metazoa; Chordata; Mammalia; Primates; Cercopithecidae
Gene name: mitochondrial ornithine transporter 1-like
Exons: 8
Source: RefSeq, a predicted model, not a curated record
AAAAAAAAAAAAAAAAAAGUCAAAUUGCCGAAAUCUACAAUCUGCAUAUAAUAUCCCACUUAUGAGUUUUACAGUGUCCAUGCUGUGUGCCUGUGUGUUCAAACUCGGCCUAUUAAUCGAGUAUUAAUUACACUAUUGUAAUGUUCUCAUAGCCACCUCCUGUUGCUAUUGCAGUGAGCUCCAGUGUUGCGGGUAUCCACUUAAAACGCCAGGUGACGCCCAUCGUCUCCACAGGAGGAGUUCGUCUUGCCGGGAAAUCAUGUUUCACAGUGAAAGUGAUCUCAUGAUGCAGCAGGAGUUGCAAGACAGUACAACUACAGAGAUACAAAAAGCUUCAGAGAAAUCUCAAGAAGUCUGUGUAUCUUUUUUCCUCUGGCUCUACAUUUUCUUCACUUCUGCUAUCCCUGUGGACCUGCCAGCCAGCACACUGAAACUGUUCUCAGAAAACAAAGGAAUCAUCGACUUCCUGGGUUUAUGGUGGUGAUUUAAGGCCAAGAGACAGACUCCAGGCUCAUCUAGUAACACUCAGGCUACUCCAGUUCAAAGGCAGCCACAUGACAGAAACUUGUCCUUAGAAUACAGCCACCAUAUAUCCUGAGGAAGCCCAAGCCACAUGGUGAAUCCUUAUGUAGCUGUUCCAGCUCACAGUCCCAGCUAAAGUCUCAGCCAAAAGCCAGCUUCAGUUGCCACAAAUGUUUUGUACAGAGAAUGUUGAAAUUCCUCAUCUUCCUCAAGAUUUUGAAGUUGCAAAAUAUAACACCUUGGAGAAAGUGGGAAUGGAGGGAGGCCAGGAAGCUGUGGUUGUGGAGCUGCAGUGUUCGCGGGACUCCAGGGACUGCCCUUUCCUGAUAUCCUCACACUUCCUUCUGGCUGAUGGCAUGCAGCAAGCCCACGUCUGUGUAGAGCACCCCUUGGGUGAGCCUGGUUUGCCGAGCAGAGAAGCCUGUCCACCUUAUAGCAGUGAGCCUUAGCCCGUGGUUCUGCUGAAGACUUUCCAGCUUGCCCUUCUGCUUAAUAAAACCAUUUUGAUGGGAAUCUUCCAAAAUGACGUUAAACUCUACCUUCUUAAACAGAGUGACUUCAACAGGUGUCCGCUGAGAUCUAUACUAAUUAAGAGUCUCCUGACAUGGAAGGUAGAAUCCAGAGGGCAAUAAGCUUUCUCCAGGAAGACAGGAAGAGCCACGUCAAGCCCCAGGAGUGGCAGCUGCAGUUCAGCCCUCCAGGGCUACCUGAGCAAGCCUGUGGCCCGCCACCCCACCCGCUACGUACAAAAGCAGUUGCACAACUAAAGUGGGCUUCUUCCUAGGGAAAGAUCCUGCUGCUGUGAAGAGUUAGAUUUUCUUCAUUUCAUUUCACUAAUCAUGAUUUCUUUCUAUGACUUUUUUCUAGUUAUAAAACUCAUGUUCUUUGAUAAAAGCUUAGAAAAUAUCUAAAAAUAUGAAGAAAAUUAAAAAUCACUCAGAAUCUCACCACCCAGAGUCAACCCAGAGAUACUAGAACCACUGUUAACGUUUGGGUGUAGAACAUAACCCAGCCUGAAUCACCCCGAUGCAGCUCACCCUGGGGAGGGGGGGUGCUGGUAAGCCAGCUCCGUGAAGGAAAAGCCCCGGUCUGGAAUAUCUGCUGAGUUCUGGGAAGCAAAUACUCCCACCAUAGCUAAUGUCAAGGUACUGACCUGAGGCCACUGGACGUGGGGUUGGGGAGAUGUGCCCUUCCUCCCACCACAGCUGCCCUCAGCCGUACCCCAGUCUCCCCCACAACUGCCCCAUCUUAGCUACCCACUCAGAGCCAGUGUGGGGUCUCUCUCUCCCUCCGCCCCACAUACCCGUGUUCUGUCAAUUCUGCCUUCCAAGUGUCCUUCAUCCGUGGGCUCACUUCCGGUCACCCCGCCGCCGUCUUUACUCCGGGUCACGUUAUCCCGUCUACAACGUCCUUCCGGAUGUUCUCUCCACUCCUGCUCCAUCCACCCCGUAACAGCCAGUGAGGGCUUGGAAUAGGCAUUUUAUGGCGCCACAUUCCAACACGUCACCUCCCAAGAGAGGCCUUUCUUGACAGCCCUCUCUCCAAACCUGGUUGGUUUCCUAAACAGCACUUAAAAAUAAGGUCUUUGCUAACUUUUUUUUUUUCUUUUUUUGAGACGGAGUCCUGCUCUGUCGCCAGGCUGGAGUGCAAUGGCGCGAUUUUGGCUCACUGCAACCUCCGC